GACGAACGCUGGCGGCGUGCUUAACACAUGCAAGUCGAACGGAAAGGCCCUGCUUUUGUGGGUUGCUCGAGUGGCGAACGGGUGAGUAACACGUGAGUAACCUGCCCUUUACUUUGGGAUAACUUCAGGAAACUGGUGCUAAUACCGGAUAUGAGCUCCUGCUGCAUGGUGGGGGUUGGAAAGUUUCGGCGGUUGGGGAUGGACUCGCGGCUUAUCAGCUUGUUGGUGGGGUAGUGGCUUACCAAGGCUUUGACGGGUAGCCGGCCUGAGAGGGUGACCGGGCACAAUGGGACUGAGGGACGGCCCAGAGGGCAAAGGGAGGCAGUAGGGGGGAAUAUUGCACAGUGGGCGGAAGCCUGGUGCAGAAACGUCGGGGUCGGGAUGACGGCCUUUGGGUUGUAAAAAGCUUUCGGCUGUGACGAAGCGUGAGUGACGGUAAUGGGUAAAGAAGCACCGGCUAACUACGUG
Molecule: ribosomal RNA, 468 nt
Filed under: uncultured bacterium
Lineage: Bacteria
Description: partial 16S ribosomal RNA
Rfam family: Bacterial small subunit ribosomal RNA
Source: RNAcentral